UUUAUUUUGAAUAUUCAAAAAAAUUAAUUCGCGGUAUAUUUUAAUUUAAUUCUUUGAGUUUCAGAUUAAUUAUCGGCUUUUGUUUUAUUAAAGUUUAUUAUAAAAGGCUAAACUAAUGUAAUUAGUUGAGUUUGGUUUCGUAAUUGAGGAUGAGGAGCACGAGAAAAAGUUGAAGGAGGCAGAGCUGGAGCUGGAGGUGAAGGUGAGGGUGGAGGAAGAAUGAAGAGAGCAGACACUAAAGAGGCACGCCUAGUUGUUUGACUUUGUCCACCGCUAAUCAGUUUGGCCUUGUAUGCUUUACUUACUCGAUGCAGUUUACAACCGACAACCAGCGGCCGACCACCGAGGGACAUUUUCUACCUCUACCUUCUACCUCUAGAUAUGACAUAUAUAUGUCUAUACCUUUGUACAUUCAGCAAAAGCAAGACUAAGUUGCAUCGAAGAACACUCGGUUAUUAAAACUGUAAUGAAUUUUAUGUAACUCGUUUUCAUUUAUGAAACUGAAAUUAUAAUUAAAUUAUUUUUAUUUAUUUAUUGAUUUGAAAUUUUUUAAAUUUAAUCAUCGAUUAAAAUUUAUAAUUACUCUGGAUUCCCGCAUAAAUUAUUUAAAUCGGACUAUUCAUUCAAAAAAUAUCGCGAGUGUACGGACGUAUGUUCAUAAAUUUUAAAAAAAUAUCUGAGACUUCGGAGUUCACAAAUAAAAUCAAUCAUGUGACAUUUAGAAGUAAUUAAUUACUAAUUACUGAGAAUGUGAAAUUUAAAUUUGAAUUUACCGCUUAAAUUCAAAUGUUAUAAAUUUGAAAAAAGUUUGAACAGAAAAAAAGGAAGAUCGAGGUUUUUAUACUUGGAGCUGAAUAAAAAUCCAUUCAAAUGUGACACUGACAAGUCUUUGAGUUUUUUAUAAAAAAAAAGUAAUGAAAGGUUAGCAACAAAAAAAAAAUUGUCUUGAAAAGUCAUGGCAUGGCCGAGUGUAUCAGAUGGAUAAUCCAAGGACUCGAGAGUACAAUCGGAAGGAUUUUAAGCUUUUUGCCUCAUCGCCGACAUUCAAAACGAGUAGUACGAUUUUCUCAAGUAAUAUCAUACGCCAGCGUACCGAGUUAUUAUUACCGGCCAUCUUCUAACGAGCAUUGUCUCAAGAGCUCGAACAAAAUAAUACUAAAUAAAAAAGAGAAGAUGAAAAGCAAACGGAGCAAGAAAACCUGCAGAUAAUCGUCAGAUCGCGUUGGCAAUAAGCUCACAAAAAAAUUAUCUCAAGUCUGGAGCGAAAAGAAAAAAAGUUAUAACAGCAUACAAUUAUUAUUUACUGUUAUUAUUUUUUUUUUUUACUUUUCACUUGGUCUAAUAUACUGAUUGUACUCAUCGAAAAUUUUAAUUGCUGUAUUUAAAAUAAUUAUGUGACUGAAAUAGUUUGUCGUGCUCACAACAGUUUGAAUAUUUUAAAAGUUAUAAAUGGACAAUGUAUGAAACAAGAAUGAAAAUGUACUUGAGCAUAUAAAUUGUUUGUCUAUUUAAUGUACCGUUAACUCAUAGAA
Molecule: long non-coding RNA, 1532 nt
Organism: Microplitis mediator
Lineage: Eukaryota; Metazoa; Arthropoda; Insecta; Hymenoptera; Braconidae
Exons: 3
Source: RefSeq, a predicted model, not a curated record